This 593-nucleotide long non-coding RNA is filed under the name Coffea arabica (coffee). Its description in RNAcentral is "long non-coding RNA (CARA_LNC005818)". Lineage: Eukaryota; Viridiplantae; Streptophyta; Magnoliopsida; Gentianales; Rubiaceae. The record is from RNAcentral.
CUGAGACCCCAAUCUGUCGACAGCGAGCGUUGCCAUAUAACGAUCGACAUGUCCACUUAGCUAUUAAGUGCAAUUUACCAACAAGAAGCAAAAAAGUUUGACGUAUUCUGGAAUGAACCAGGUGGGAUUACAGACCCCAUCAGAAUAUCAAAUUUCUAUGUUAUCAAUGAUAAUCAGAAAUAGAAAACGGCAACCUCCUAACAAUUAAGUGCAAUUUAACGAUCGACAUGUGCAAUUUAUCAAUUUAACGAGCGUUGCCAUAUAACGAUCGACACGUCCACUUAGCUAUUAAGUGCAAUUUACCAACAAGAAGCAAAAAAGUUUGACGUAUUCUGGAAUGAACCAGGUGGGAUUACAGACCCCAUCAGAAUAUCAAAUUUCUAUGUUAUCAAUGAUAAUCAGAAAUAGAAAACGACAACCUCCUAACUGCCCACCAACAACUUCCAGAAGAAAGUUUUAAAAAUUGUCAGAUCACAAACUUCAGCUUGAUGUUCGAAAAAGAGCUCUGCUGAUGAUACCGGUGGCUUCAAUGUAGCGAUCCACACACCUUGAGACACAACUACUCUCACUACCACUCAGGCUGCUCCCAGGUU